UACGGAGGAUCCAAGCGUUAUCCGGAUUUAUUGGGUUUAAAGGGUGCGUAGGUGGCCUUUUAAGUCAGGGGUGAAAGACGGUAGCUUAACUAUCGCAGUGCCUUUGAUACUGAAGAGCUUGAAUGAACUAGAGGUAGGCGGAAUGUGACAAGUAGCGGUGAAAUGCAUAGAUAUGUCACAGAACACCGAUUGCGAAGGCAGCUUACUAUGGUUUUAUUGACACUGAGGCACGAAAGCGUGGGGAUCAAACAGG
This 253-nucleotide ribosomal RNA is filed under the name uncultured bacterium. Its description in RNAcentral is "partial 16S ribosomal RNA". It matches the Rfam family "Bacterial small subunit ribosomal RNA", at positions 524 to 776 of the family's 1533-position model. The record is from RNAcentral.